RNAcentral lists this ribosomal RNA (301 nucleotides) under uncultured bacterium. Its description in RNAcentral is "partial 16S ribosomal RNA". It matches the Rfam family "Bacterial small subunit ribosomal RNA", at positions 509 to 807 of the family's 1533-position model. The record is from RNAcentral.
CAGUAGCCACGGGAAUACGAAGGGUGCAAGCGUUACUCGGAAUUACUGGGCGUAAAGCGUGCGUAGGUGGUGGUUUAAGUCCGUUGUGAAAGCCCUGGACUCAACCUGGGAAUAGCAAUGGAUACUGGCAAGCUAGAGUGUGUCAGAGGAUGGUGGAAUUCCCGGUGUAGCGGUGAAAUGCGUAGAGAUCGGGAGGAACAUCAGUGGCGAAGGCGGCCACCUGGGACAACACUGACGCUGAGGCACGAAAGCGUGGGGAGCAAACAGGAUUAGAUACCCCCGUAGUCCCUGUCUCUUAUAC